RNAcentral lists this ribosomal RNA (439 nucleotides) under uncultured bacterium. RNAcentral describes it as "bacterial SSU rRNA". It matches the Rfam family "Bacterial small subunit ribosomal RNA", at positions 29 to 515 of the family's 1533-position model. The record is from RNAcentral.
AACGAACGCUGGCGGCAGGCCUAACACAUGCAAGUCGAGCGCGCCUUCGGGUGAGCGGCGGACGGGUUAGUAACGCGUGGGAACGUGCCCUUCUCUACGGAAUAGCCUCUGGAAACGGAGAGUAAUACCGUAUACGCCCUUUGGGGGAAAGAUUUAUCGGAGAAGGAUCGGCCCGCGUUAGAUUAGGUAGUUGGUGGGGUAACGGCCUACCAAGCCUACGAUCUAUAGCUGGUUUUAGAGGAUGAUCAGCAACACUGGGACUGAGACACGGCCCAGACUCCUACGGGAGGCAGCAGUGGGGAAUCUUAGACAAUGGGGGCAACCCUGAUCUAGCCAUGCCGCGUGAGUGAUGAAGGCCCUAGGGUUGUAAAGCUCUUUUGUGCGGGAAGAUAAUGACGGUACCGCAAGAAUAAGCCCCGGCUAACUUCGUGCCUGAAGG